Molecule: ribosomal RNA, 455 nt
Filed under: uncultured Thauera sp.
Lineage: Bacteria; Pseudomonadati; Pseudomonadota; Betaproteobacteria; Rhodocyclales; Zoogloeaceae
Description: bacterial SSU rRNA
Rfam family: Bacterial small subunit ribosomal RNA
Source: RNAcentral
GCACAAGCGGUGGAUGAUGUGGAUUAAUUCGAUGCAACGCGAAAACCUUACCUACCCUUGACAUGUCUGGAACCUUGGUGAGAGCCGAGGGUGCUUCGGAGCCAGAACACAGGUGCUGCAUGGCUGUCGUCAGCUCGUGUCGUGAGAUGUUGGGUUAAGUCCCGCAACGAGCGCAACCCUUGUCACUAGUUGCCAUCAUUUAGUUGGGCACUCUAGUGAGACUGCCGGUGACAAACCGGAGGAAGGUGGGGAUGACGUCAAGUCCUCAUGGCCCUUAUGGGUAGGGCUUCACACGUAAUACAAUGGUCGGUACAGAGGGUUGCCAACCCGCGAGGGGGAGCCAAUCCCAGAAAACCGAUCGUAGUCCGGAUUGCAGUCUGCAACUCGACUGCAUGAAGUCGGAAUCGCUAGUAAUCGCGGAUCAGCAUGUCGCGGUGAAUACGUUCCCGGGCCUU